UUACAAUAAGUCAACCUAAGACUGAAAGAGAAAGUUCAUUUAUUCCCUGGUCAAGUAUUUGCCUUGUUCCUUCUGUGUACUCAACUUGAACAUUAGAAGAUUAAUGCCUACCUCGGUGUGAGAAGUGAAGGAGAUUGGUGGUUUCCAACUCGACUGGUAAGGUGACGUGAAUGAGAAAGGAAGGACAUCAUCAAGAGACAGUCACUUUGUCUCAAUUUGUGGGACAUAAGCAAGGCCCAAAAGGCAUGAAUCCUGAGAUAAAACAACAAGAUGAAUACUCCCCCUGCAGUCACCAAACAGCAUGUGUUCAAGAUGGGGUUUCAAAAUUUGGCCAUGCUAGUCUCAAACUCCUGACCUCAAGUGAUCCAC
Molecule: long non-coding RNA, 369 nt
Filed under: Homo sapiens (human)
Lineage: Eukaryota; Metazoa; Chordata; Mammalia; Primates; Hominidae
Description: HSALNT0163584
Source: RNAcentral